UACGUAGGGUGCAAGCGUUGUCCGGAAUUAUUGGGCGUAAAGAGCUCGUAGGCGGUUUGUCGCGUCUGCUGUGAAAAUCCAGGGCUUAACCCUGGACCUGCAGUGGGUACGGGCAGACUAGAGUGCGGUAGGGGAGAUCGGAAUUCCUGGUGUAGCGGUGAAAUGCGCAGAUAUCGGGAGGAACACCAGUGGCGAAGGCGACUUCCUGGCCUGUUCUUGACGCUGAGGCGCGAAAGCUAGGGGAGCAAACGGG
RNAcentral lists this ribosomal RNA (253 nucleotides) under uncultured bacterium. RNAcentral describes it as "partial 16S ribosomal RNA". It matches the Rfam family "Bacterial small subunit ribosomal RNA", at positions 524 to 776 of the family's 1533-position model. The record is from RNAcentral.